Molecule: ribosomal RNA, 354 nt
Filed under: uncultured bacterium
Lineage: Bacteria
Description: bacterial SSU rRNA
Rfam family: Bacterial small subunit ribosomal RNA
Source: RNAcentral
GGGCCCGCACAAGCGGUGGAGCAUGUGGUUUAAUUCGAUGAUACGCGAGGAACCUUACCAGGGCUUAAAUGUAGUCUGACAGGCGUGGAAACAUGCUUUUCUUCGGACAGAUUACAAGGUGCUGCAUGGUUGUCGUCAGCUCGUGCCGUGAGGUGUCAGGUUAAGUCCUAUAACGAGCGCAACCCCUGUUGUUAGUUGCCAGCGAGUCAUGUCGGGAACUCUAACAAGACUGCCAGUGCAAAACUGUGAGGAAGGUGGGGAUGACGUCAAAAUCAUCACGGCCCUUACGUCCUGGGCCACACACGUGCUACAAUGGUAGGUACAGAGAGCAGCCACUGCGCGAGCAGGAGCGAA